RNAcentral lists this unclassified non-coding RNA (355 nucleotides) under Hevea brasiliensis (rubber tree). The record is from RNAcentral. Lineage: Eukaryota; Viridiplantae; Streptophyta; Magnoliopsida; Malpighiales; Euphorbiaceae.
AUAGAUUUUUUUUUUUUUUAUCCCAUCAGCGAAAGAGUUGAUUAGGGAAUUUUUGUCCGGGGUUCUAUUAUUUUCUGAAAUCUUGGAUGUCAUUUGUAACAAUUGUCAACUUAAGCUGCGAGGAUGUCACUACGAUACUUUAGCUCUGUAUGACAAUGCUGUUGAGAGAAACAUCUGAUAAGAGUUUCACAUCUAAAAUGAUGCCUUUUCUGUAAAAAGCAGCUUUUUAGUCUCUUAAUCACAAUCUCAAAGGGAAGCGUAGAGGCGAGGACUUCUGAAUGGCAUGUCGUUUUCAUCGAAGGACAGGUGCUUGUCUGCAUUAAUAUCUAAAAUUCAACUUAUGCUCCUCAUUUUC